This 1332-nucleotide long non-coding RNA is filed under the name Triticum aestivum (bread wheat). Its description in RNAcentral is "long non-coding RNA (TAES_LNC018930)". The record is from RNAcentral. Lineage: Eukaryota; Viridiplantae; Streptophyta; Magnoliopsida; Poales; Poaceae.
GACUAUAGCGUUUAGAAUAGAUCCUGCACUAAGGAUAUUUGCUCCAAAUAUAUGAAGAAACAUUUUAAAUAGCGCGCUAGCGUUUAGAAGAGAUUCUCCGCUAAGAGGCUUUUUGGUAAUGCAUAACCAUAUUUAGAGUCAAAGGAUGGGGCCUCGACGCGUAUUUGAAUCUGAGCAUCCGACAACAAUGGCCUACACAAGACGACACCACUACAAAAAUAGAGAUAGCAUGAAGAACUGCAAAUCACCAUACGAUGUACAGAUAUAGCAUGACCCUGAGUACAUGACACAUACAUUUUUGGUAUUCUAACACGGCAGACUGCUGCAUCUAUCCCUUAACAGAUUUCAUCCCUUAACCAUGCGGCGCCGCAGCUCAUUCACCGCAAAUUAAGCGUGUGAACCUUGUCUCUGCAGUUCUGCACGGGGAGUGGCUAUUGCGCAGCUUUCCAAGAAAAAUGCACAAUCCCCACGCAGGUGGUAGCUCCAUGUCUGAAAAACAGAAACAUUGAGAAAUGGUCAGAAGGAUGUUCUGGCUCCAUCCAUAGAAGGUUAAAAGAGAAUCCGCAACAGAGAAUGCCCAAGCCAACUAUCUGGCUGAGGUCGGCGUUCCUAUUUCUAAGCAAGAAUUCAUAGCGAGAUGUUUAAAAAAUGAAAAGAGUAUCUAACAAUGUGGCUCACAGAUUUUCUAGUACAGGGGCUUGAGCACUGUUUUAUCUUAUUUUGCAGGUUUCCUUUUUCUUUUAUCUUACCACACAUAAAACAAGCACUGCAAAGCGAUAAAUUGCCAUUUAAUAUUUUUUUCUUAUGCCAAAUUUGACACAGUGAAUCAAUAUGAAUGUAACUAUUUGUAUUUCAUAUGUAAUUUGUUUAUGAAAUGAUCGUAAGAUUACCUCGGGUGAAGAAUAACUUAUUCUGCACCCUGGGUGAUGAAUAGUAUAAAGACGAGAGCGGCACACCAACCUUUUCCAUUGAAGAAAAGAAAUGAAAUACUUUGUUUGCUGUGCAUUAGGCUUUAUCCAAAUUGUCAAGUUCAUCACGCCCACUUUGCUUCCGGUAAUGAAAAUAAAGGAACUGAAGAAUAAUCUGCAGAUAUGGUUAAGGAUUCUUCCAAUGCAACAGCUGAUUGAAAUCUGCUAUGAAUUGUGAUAUGGCAUAUCAUUGUACCACCGACCAGAUUCUAAAACAUAGGUCUCAGGCAUUUUUGGCAACUAACAUAUAUGAUCCUAAGACGCAGUCAUACUCAACUACAUUGUGGUAAUAUUUCUACUCAUAUGAGCCUUAUUUGAGAUGAUAGCUAGAAAGGCAACUCAAUAAUGAUUCUAAAACAAAGGC